CGUGUGCUUGGCGUACUGGGCCGUGUGCGUCUGUUGUGAGCGGGUACUGGCUGCGAUGGAAGUGCGUUCUAAACGCGGCAUUCGC
RNAcentral lists this transfer RNA (85 nucleotides) under Vibrio furnissii. Its description in RNAcentral is "tRNA-His(gtg)". Lineage: Bacteria; Pseudomonadati; Pseudomonadota; Gammaproteobacteria; Vibrionales; Vibrionaceae. The record is from RNAcentral.